RNAcentral lists this ribosomal RNA (460 nucleotides) under uncultured bacterium. RNAcentral's name for it is "partial 16S ribosomal RNA". It matches the Rfam family "Bacterial small subunit ribosomal RNA", at positions 338 to 795 of the family's 1533-position model. The record is from RNAcentral.
CCUACGGGAGGCUGCAGUGAGGAAUAUUGGUCAAUGGCCGGAAGGCUGAACCAGCCAUGCCGCGUGAAGGUCAGUGCCCUAUGGGCGUUAAACUUCUUUUGUGCGGGAGCAAUAAUGGUCACGUGUGGCCAGACGAGAGUACCGUACGAAUAAGCAUCGGCUAACUCCGUGCCAGCAGCCGCGGUAAUAAGGGGGAUGCAAGCGUUAUACGGAUUUAUUGGGGUUAAAGGGUGCGUAGGCUGUGAGGGAAGUCAGCGGUGAAAUGCCCCCGCUCAACGGGGUGAAGUGCCAUUGAGACUGCCUUGCUGGAAUGCGGAUGCCGUGGGAGGAAUGUGUGGUGUAGCGGUGAAAUGCAUAGAUAUCACACAGAACACCGAUUGCGAAGGCAUCUCACGAAUCCGCGAUUGACGCUGAUGCACGAAAGCGUGGGUAUCAAACAGGAUUAGAUACCCUUGUAGUC